This 212-nucleotide long non-coding RNA is filed under the name Elaeis guineensis (African oil palm). Its description in RNAcentral is "long non-coding RNA (EGUI_LNC017361)". The record is from RNAcentral. Lineage: Eukaryota; Viridiplantae; Streptophyta; Magnoliopsida; Arecales; Arecaceae.
UUUAUUAUCCAUUUAAAAAAAAUUAGAAAAUAAUCUGCUCAUCUCCGAUCUAUGGCUCUACCCUCACCGCAUCUCCACCCAACUACCUCUCUGACCUCUGCCCUUGCCAUGUUUUUGUCCUCUACCUCUUCGGCCUCCAGCUCCACCUGAUUGGCCACCCUCACUAUGCUGUUGCCUCCAGUUCCACCUGAUCGGAAGCCCUCACUGGACUC